This 22-nucleotide non-coding RNA is filed under the name Arabidopsis thaliana (thale cress). The record is from RNAcentral. Lineage: Eukaryota; Viridiplantae; Streptophyta; Magnoliopsida; Brassicales; Brassicaceae.
CUCGUCGUAUUUCUAGCAGCGG